GACAGAGGGUGCAAACGUUGUUCGGAAUUACUGGGCGUAAAGCGCGUGUAGGCGGGCGGGUACGUCGGCGACUGAAAGCCCCCGGCUCAACCGGGGAAGGGGUGCCGAAACGGCCGGCCUGGAGGGGCGUAGGGGGACCUGGAACUUCCGGUGGAGCGGUGAAAUGCGUUGAGAUCGGAAGGAACGCCCGUGGCGAAAGCGAGGUCCUGGACGCCAACUGACGCUGAGACGCGAAAGCCAGGGGAGCGAACGGG
This 254-nucleotide ribosomal RNA is filed under the name uncultured bacterium. RNAcentral describes it as "partial 16S ribosomal RNA". It matches the Rfam family "Bacterial small subunit ribosomal RNA", at positions 524 to 776 of the family's 1533-position model. The record is from RNAcentral.